UACGUAGGGGGCUAGCGUUGUCCGGAAUCAUUGGGCGUAAAGCGCGUGUAGGCGGUCCGAUCAGUCUGCUGUGAAAGUCGGGGGCUCAACCCUCGAAUGCCGGUGGAUACUGUUGGGCUUGAGUACGGAAGAGGCGAGUGGAAUUCCUGGUGUAGCGGUGAAAUGCGCAGAUAUCAGGAGGAACACCUAUGGCGAAGGCAGCUCGCUGGGACGGUACUGACGCUGAGACGCGAAAGCGUGGGGAGCGAACAGG
Molecule: ribosomal RNA, 253 nt
Filed under: uncultured bacterium
Lineage: Bacteria
Description: partial 16S ribosomal RNA
Rfam family: Bacterial small subunit ribosomal RNA
Source: RNAcentral